AUUGAACGCUGGCGGCAUGCCUUACACAUGCAAGUCGAACGGUAACGGGCCUUCGGGUGCCGACGAGUGGCGCACGGGUGAGUAAUACAUCGGAACGUGCCCGAUCGUGGGGGAUAACGAGGCGAAAGCUUUGCUAAUACCGCAUACGAUCUACGGAUGAAAGCAGGGGACCGCAAGGCCUUGCGCGGACGGAGCGGCCGAUGGCAGAUUAGGUAGUUGGUGGGAUAAAAGCUUACCAAGCCGACGAUCUGUAGCUGGUCUGAGAGGAUGAUCAGCCACACUGGGACUGAGACACGGCCCAGACUCCUACGGGAGGCAGCAGUGGGGAAUUUUGGACAAUGGGCGCAAGCCUGAUCCAGCCAUGCCGCGUGCAGGAUGAAGACCUUCGGGUUGUAAACUGCUUUUGUACGGAACGAAAAGCCUUCUUUUAAUACAGGAGGGUCAUGACGGUACCGUAAGAAUAAGCACCGGCUAACUACGUG
This 482-nucleotide ribosomal RNA is filed under the name uncultured bacterium. Its description in RNAcentral is "partial 16S ribosomal RNA". It matches the Rfam family "Bacterial small subunit ribosomal RNA", at positions 30 to 507 of the family's 1533-position model. The record is from RNAcentral.